CACGUAGGGACCAAGCGUUGUCCGGAUUCAUUGGGCGUAAAGAGCUCGUAGGCGGUUCGAUAAGUCGGGUGUGAAACCUCCAGGCUCAACCUGGAGACGCCACCCGAUACUGUCGUGACUAGAGUCCAGUAGGGGAGCGUGGAAUUCCUGGUGUAGCGGUGAAAUGCGCAGAUAUCAGGAGGAACACCAGCGGCGAAGGCGGCGCUCUGGGCUGGAACUGACGCUGAGGAGCGAAAGCCAGGGGAGCAAACGGG
RNAcentral lists this ribosomal RNA (254 nucleotides) under uncultured bacterium. RNAcentral's name for it is "partial 16S ribosomal RNA". It matches the Rfam family "Bacterial small subunit ribosomal RNA", at positions 524 to 776 of the family's 1533-position model. The record is from RNAcentral.